GAUGAAGAACGUAGCGAAAUGCGAUAAGUAAUGUGAAUUGCAGAAUUCAGAGAAUCAUCGAAUCUUUGAACGCACAUUGCGCCCGCCAGUAUUCUGGCGGGCAUGCCUGUUCGAGCGUCAUUACAACCCUCAGGCCCCCGGGCCUGGCGUUGGGGAUCGGCGGAGCCCCCCGUGGGCACACGCCGUCCCCCAAAUGCAGUGGCGGUCCCGCCGCAGCUUCCAUCGCGUAGUAGCUAACACCUCGCGACUGGAGAGCGGCGCGGCCACGCCGUAAAACACCCAACUCUUCUGAAGUUGACCUCGAAUCAGGUAGGAAUACCCGCUGAACUUAAGCAUAUCAAUAAGCGGAGGA
RNAcentral lists this unclassified non-coding RNA (352 nucleotides) under soil metagenome. RNAcentral's name for it is "partial contains 5.8S ribosomal RNA, internal transcribed spacer 2, and large subunit ribosomal RNA". The stretch from base 1 to 120 matches the Rfam family "5.8S ribosomal RNA", at positions 35 to 154 of the family's 154-position model. The record is from RNAcentral.